AUUGAACGCUGGCGGCAGGCCUAACACAUGCAAGUCGAGCGGAUGAAGGGAGCUUGCUCCUGGAUUCAGCGGCGGACGGGUGGGUAAUGCCUAGGAAUCUGCCUGGUAGUGGGGGAUAACGUCCGGAAACGGGCGCUAAUACCGCAUACGUCCUGAGGGAGAAAGUGGGGGAUCUUCGGACCUCACGCUAUCAGAUGAGCCUAGGUCGGAUUAGCUAGUUGGUGGGGUAAAGGCCUACCAAGGCGACGAUCCGUAACUGGUCUGAGAGGAUGAUCAGUCACACUGGAACUGAGACACGGUCCAGACUCCUACGGGAGGCAGCAGUGGGGAAUAUUGGACAAUGGGCGAAAGCCUGAUCCAGCCAUGCCGCGUGUGUGAAGAAGGUCUUCGGAUUGUAAAGCACUUUAAGUUGGGAGGAAGGGCAGUAAGUUAAUACCUUGCUGUUUUGACGUUACCAACAGAAUAAGCACCGGCUAACUCCGUG
Molecule: ribosomal RNA, 484 nt
Filed under: uncultured bacterium
Lineage: Bacteria
Description: partial 16S ribosomal RNA
Rfam family: Bacterial small subunit ribosomal RNA
Source: RNAcentral